Molecule: ribosomal RNA, 542 nt
Filed under: uncultured bacterium
Lineage: Bacteria
Description: partial 16S ribosomal RNA
Rfam family: Bacterial small subunit ribosomal RNA
Source: RNAcentral
AGAGUUNNAUCCUGGNUCAGAUUGAACGNUGGCGGCAUGCCUAACACAUGCAAGUCGAACGGUAACAGGACGCUAUGAUCCCUUNGGGGUGAAUUUGUCGCUGACGAGUGGCGGACGGGUGAGUAAUGCGUAGGAAUCUACCUUCAAGUGGGGGAUAGCCNGGAGAAAUCCGGAUUAAUNCCGCAUGUUCUNUACGGAGAAAAGCGGGCCUCUGUUUCAAGCUCGCGCUUGGAGAUGAGCNUACGUCGGAUUAGCUAGUUGGUGGGGUAAAGGCCUACCAAGGCAACGAUCCGUAGCUGGUUUGAGAGGAUGAUCAGCCACACUGGGACUGAGACACGGCCCAGACUCCUACGGGAGGCAGCAGUGGGGAAUAUUGGACAAUGGGCGCAAGCCUGAUCCANCAAUGCCGCGUGUGUGAAGAAGGCNUGCGGGUUGUAAAGCACUUUUAUCGGGAAAGAAAAGCNNGAGGUUAAUAGCCUUUAAGCCUUGACGGUACCCGUUGAAUAAGCACCGGCUAACUCAGUGCCAGCANCCGCGGUAAU